UGCGGAAGGAUCAUUAACGAAAUUGUCUUCGGACAUUUUAUCCUUAACACCUGUGAACUAUUGUAAUUUUUUGCUUUGGUCCUUCGGGGCCAGAGGAUUUAAUCAAAACCUUUUAUUAUUAACCUGAGUCUGAAAAUUGAAAAAUUGAAUUAUUCA
RNAcentral lists this ribosomal RNA (156 nucleotides) under Blastobotrys adeninivorans. The record is from RNAcentral. Lineage: Eukaryota; Fungi; Ascomycota; Dipodascomycetes; Dipodascales; Trichomonascaceae.